ACACCUCAACUCCUCAUGGCUUGCCAUGACGAGCUUGGACUUUGGGGGUCUUGCUGGCCUGCGGUCGGCUCCUCUCAAAUGGAUCAGCUUGCCGGUGUUUGGUGGCAUCACGGGUGUGAUAACUAUCUACGCUUGUGGUUUUCCACCAGAUGGCCCUCAGCGAUGGGGGCUCACCGGGGCUCAUAAAUGUCUCUCCUCGGUGAGGACAUCUCUUUGAAC
Molecule: unclassified non-coding RNA, 219 nt
Filed under: uncultured Tomentella
Lineage: Eukaryota; Fungi; Basidiomycota; Agaricomycetes; Thelephorales; Thelephoraceae
Description: sequence contains ITS2
Source: RNAcentral